UACCAGCACCCCGAGUGGUCGGGACGUUUAUUGGGCCUAAAGCAUCCGUAGCCGGUUCUACAAGUCUUCCGUUAAAUCCAACUGCUUAACAGGUGGGCUGCGGAAGAUACUAUAGAGCUAGGAGGCGGGAGAGGCAAGCGGUACUCGAUGGGUAGGGGUAAAAUCCGUUGAUCCAUUGAAGACCACCAGUGGCGAAGGCGGCUUGCCAGAAUGCGCUCGACGGUGAGGGAUGAAAGCUGGGGAGCAAACCGG
This 252-nucleotide ribosomal RNA is filed under the name uncultured bacterium. RNAcentral's name for it is "partial 16S ribosomal RNA". It matches the Rfam family "Archaeal small subunit ribosomal RNA", at positions 474 to 727 of the family's 1478-position model. The record is from RNAcentral.